This 510-nucleotide ribosomal RNA is filed under the name uncultured bacterium. Its description in RNAcentral is "partial 16S ribosomal RNA". It matches the Rfam family "Bacterial small subunit ribosomal RNA", at positions 28 to 507 of the family's 1533-position model. The record is from RNAcentral.
GACGAACGCUGGCGGCGUGCUUAACACAUGCAAGUCGAACGAAGAGCGAUGGAAGCUUGCUUCUAUCAAUCUUAGUGGCGAACGGGUGAGUAACGCGUAAUCAACCUGCCCUUCAGAGGGGGACAACAGUUGGAAACGACUGCUAAUACCGCAUACGAUCUAAUCUCGGCAUCGAGGAUAGAUGAAAGGUGGCCUCUACAUGUAAGCUAUCACUGAAGGAGGGGAUUGCGUCUGAUUAGCUAGUUGGAGGGGUAACGGCCCACCAAGGCGAUGAUCAGUAGCCGGACUGAGAGGAUGAACGGCCACAUUGGGACUGGGACACGGCCCAGACUCCUACGGGGGGCAGCAGUGGGGAAUCUUCCGCAAUGGACGAAAGUCUGACGGAGCAACGCCGCGUGAGGGAUGACGGCCUUCGGGUUGUAAAGCUCUGCUAAUCGGGACGAAAGGCCUUCUUGCGAAUAGUGAGAAGGAUUGACGGUACCGGAAUAGAAAGCCACGGCUAACUACGUG